Molecule: ribosomal RNA, 252 nt
Filed under: uncultured bacterium
Lineage: Bacteria
Description: partial 16S ribosomal RNA
Rfam family: Bacterial small subunit ribosomal RNA
Source: RNAcentral
ACGGAGGGUCCAAGCGUUAUCCGGAAUCAUUGGGUUUAAAGGGUCCGUAGGCGGACUAAUAAGUCAGAGGUGAAAUCCCAUAGCUCAACUAUGGAACUGCCUUUGAUACUGUUAGUCUUGAGUUAUUUGGAAGUAGAUAGAAUGUGUAGUGUAGCGGUGAAAUGCAUAGAUAUUACACAGAAUACCGAUUGCGAAGGCAGUCUACUACGAAUAUACUGACGCUGAUGGACGAAAGCGUGGGGAGCGAACAGG